GACUUGAUACUUUAAUAUAAAAGAUCUAAUUUGCAUUUAGACAAUAAGUUUUUUAACUUUCGGGUCA
This 67-nucleotide transfer RNA is filed under the name Buccinulum pallidum. RNAcentral describes it as "tRNA-Ala". Lineage: Eukaryota; Metazoa; Mollusca; Gastropoda; Neogastropoda; Buccinidae. The record is from RNAcentral.